UACGUAGGGAGCGAGCGUUAUCCGGAUUUAUUGGGUGUAAAGGGUGCGUAGACGGGUAAUCAAGUUAGUUGUGAAAUCCCUCGGCUUAACUGAGGAACUGCAACUAAAACUGGUUGUCUUGAGUGCAGGAGAGGUAAGUGGAAUUCCUAGUGUAGCGGUGAAAUGCGUAGAUAUUAGGAGGAACACCAGUGGCGAAGGCGACUUACUGGACUGUAACUGACGUUGAGGCACGAAAGUGUGGGGAGCAAACAGG
RNAcentral lists this ribosomal RNA (253 nucleotides) under uncultured bacterium. RNAcentral describes it as "partial 16S ribosomal RNA". It matches the Rfam family "Bacterial small subunit ribosomal RNA", at positions 524 to 776 of the family's 1533-position model. The record is from RNAcentral.